This 497-nucleotide ribosomal RNA is filed under the name uncultured bacterium. RNAcentral describes it as "partial 16S ribosomal RNA". It matches the Rfam family "Bacterial small subunit ribosomal RNA", at positions 28 to 507 of the family's 1533-position model. The record is from RNAcentral.
GAUGAACGCUGGCGGCGUGCCUAAUACAUGCAAGUCGAGCGAACAGACGAGGAGCUUGCUCCUCUGACGUUAGCGGCGGACGGGUGAGUAACACGUGGAUAACCUACCUAUAAGACUGGGAUAACUUCGGGAAACCGGAGCUAAUACCGGAUAACAUGUUGAACCGCAUGGUUUAACAGUGAAAGACGGUCUUGCUGUCACUUAUAGAUGGAUCCGCGCCGCAUUAGCUAGUUGGUAAGGUAACGGCUUACCAAGGCAACGAUGCGUAGCCGACCUGAGAGGGUGAUCGGCCACACUGGAACUGAGACACGGUCCAGACUCCUACGGGAGGCAGCAGUAGGGAAUCUUCCGCAAUGGGCGAAAGCCAGACGGAGCAACGCCGCGUGAGUGAAGAAGGUCUUCGGAUCGUAAAGCUCUGUUAUUAGGGAAGAACAAAUGUGUAAGUAACUAUGCACGUCUUGACGGUACCUAAUCAGAAAGCCACGGCUAACUACGUG